UUUCAAAAAAAAGAACAAGGCACACAGAACCGGCCGUUGCCGGUGUGCCCACUGCCGCCGGUCGAAUCCCGGCCCCUCCGCUGCCGCUCCUCGAGCCGCCCCUCGAGUCACGACGAACCGAACCGCGACGCCCUCGGCAGUGGCACGGCAGUUCGGCGGCGUGAGUUUGCCGAGACGCCGAGGCCGCCCGCUCCGGCCACCAACCAUCACCAGUUCACCACCACCGUCUAGACGCGCGCGCGGAAGUCGUCGUGGCGGCGGCGGUCCUCGUCAAGCUCGAUGGUACAGUCUAAGUUGGUUACAGGCACAUUUGGUAGCCUGCUCCUGCUCGUCGACUCAAGUUGCUUGAAUUGAAUCCCCUAUGUGUCAGUCGUGCUGUCCCCAUCGGCAAGUGGCAAAACCGCGCGCGCUGUAGCCCCGCGCUGGUCAGUGUUUGAGGCUUCGAUGCUUGAUGCAAUCAUGACUGGUUGAAUUUGUUGCCCGCUUGCUGCAUUACCUCGACCCGGGCAAUUUGUCCUGUCAGUCUGUCACAGUCCUUUCGUUUUCUUUCUGAAUUCCAGCGGAAUAUUGCGUCACAGUCUUAUCCUCUAGUGAUUAUCAGUUCCCUGAUGCUUGGGUAUAGUUUCAUCAGUCGUCGAUUUCAUACUAAGCAUGACAUUCCGAUAAGGUGCUCUGCUGGCACCAAUCCAUUUCCUGGAAUCUGCUAAGUCAGAAGUCUCCAUACGAGGAAGCGUGUUUAAGUUUGUUUUGGAGUGUUGUUCUCGUGACUCAUGGUGAAGACCUUACAAGAUUAGGUGUGUAACAACCAAUAUGUGUUGAUAGGAUGUUAAUUAAUUUGCAUUGGCUGCUUCACGGUAAUUGCCCUUUAGGAUUUAGCUUCUUUAUCCUGUAACUUUUUAAAUACGCAAAACUGAAAUAUGAUGUUAAUGUUCAAUCACCGUGAGAAUCUGGUAAAAUCAGUUCAACUCUUCCUUAUGCUUCAUUCCCUGAAUGGCUGCUUCUAACUUGAAUUCAACUUUGAAUUUACUUCUGUAAUUCUUUGUACCAUAGUCAUUCUUGGCUUUUGUUCUUGCCUUCUUUAUUUUAGGUGCACACAACAUGCAUGUUUAAAUUGGUAAUAGUAAGUUAAUAGCUUUUGACUCAACAUGAUCUUUUUUUCGUUGGCAUUAAGGUAACUGCAUUCUUUGACUUUGUUGUCUUGUUUAGCUCAAGUAGAAUUCUUGGUUCUUUAGUUCAGAUGUGAACAUUUUUUGAAUUUAGGCUCAUUUUGAGUAACAAAUGUGACUGUUUUCUUUUGUUGCUGCACCUGCCAUCUAGUUGACAGAUUUAAGCAAAUGCCUCAUGUAUGGAGUAUGGUCUCAACACUCAACAUGUAAGAAUGGCCAGUAUAGCCUUUUAGAGCACAUGAAUCUUGUCGUAUCUAAAUUGAUAACUGUUUCUUUUUUUUUAGAUUAUGGAAAAAGUUCUGGCCUUGAUAAUUGAUAACUGUUUCUAUAGGCAUACAUGUUCUUCUGUGUUGAGGCCUACUGCAUCAUAUAUCAUACGUUAGUCUGCACACCUGAUGCCAACUAUCUUUGUAAUAAUUAUCUUAUCUAUCUUAUUUCUGGACAUCUCCUUUAUGAGCUUACUUAUUUUCUAUACAGAUCAACCCAAUGGAUAGCAGCAAGGCAUGGUAUCUCUAGUCCUUCCAUUUUGUAUUGAUUGUGCUUCUCCAUAGUGUAUGUGCUUUCGUAUGUUGUAUAUCUGUACAGCGCUGAACUGCUAAUAAUGAUUGCCUGAGUAGAGGACGGUGGUCCCAUCACUUACGUUACUUUUUAAUCUAGUUGUCAUGCUGGUCUUUUCAGUGUAGCACUUUUGGUGGACCCUUCCAGUAAUUUUCCAGUCAAAUAUGUUUAGAGAAUUCUUGAUCCCUAUGGGAUAAGGGUGAGAAAAUUGUGCCCAUGCUCGUAACCAUCGUUGCUUCAAGCUCAUCCACUGAAAGCUACUACUAUUUACUGCUGUAAGGCAAGAUGCAUUCUCAAUUCUCGUGCCCACCAUUUUGAAUAGAAUGGUUGUGGAUAAACAGUUGCCCUUGUAGGUUAUUUCUUAUUGCCAUACAACUUGCUGGAGUAUAUUUGGUUUAAUAUUUUUCAUUUUAAUCAUGUGAAGUGUGGAAGCUACCUUAUAUAUUGUGAAUAUCAGUGGGACCUAUUUUACAUAUUACUCUCAACAGAAUAACACUAACAUGUUUGUAAAAUUGCUGCAGAAAAUGAAGAGGGAAAUAUUAGCAUUCUUCUUCAUCAGGACCUUCAAAAGAUUUGCUAAAACUGGGAUCUGAAAUUGUCGAGUGAAAUCAACAGCUUGACUGUAUCGUAUAUCUGCAAAUUUCUAAUUGUAUACUUGUUUACUGGUGUAUGUACAGUUAUGUACAUAUUGCAUAACAUGAAAACUACAUACAACCCUCUCAUCAACUAAAAUAUAGAUAGUGACUGGUUAAGACCCUUGGAAACCAUGGUCAUACUACUCAUGUAGUAGCAUGGCCUUACAACAGAGCUAAGGACUGCCCUUUCCACCUCUUCUGAGGGCUUUCUCCUAAGCAAGCACAUCACAUACUCCAUCACUGCUGCCUCACAAGGUACUGUGAUCCUGUCUUCACUUGUGAACCCAAACUCAUCCUCAGACAUCCGCAGGAGCUCCCCAAAAACGUUUGUAUUAAGAUACACCAAAGGGACCUCAAAUCGCUUACCAUCAGCUGUGUAGACGAUGCAGUGGCCUUUGUUUGCUAUGGCUGAUGCGCAAUAUAGGUUGCCAUCUUUGGUUGCAGUGAUUGUUGUCAGCCUCCUCCCAAGGGUCGCCAUAUGUUGCCACUUCUUUGCCAGUUGAACUAGCCUCUUCGGAUGUAUCAUGUUGUAAUUCUAUGAGAUAAUCUUUUGGUGCCCUGUGCUGUUGCUUCAGUUUUUUAUGGGUUGUGAAGAUGAUAUGCGCUAGUUUCAUGUACUUAUAGGAUAACAAUGGAGCACUAGAGCCAUAAGGUACGCCCAAUGGGUGUAGGCAUCAGUAUGGCUAGUUGGCAAGAGACUAGUUGGCAAGAGACAAAGCAUGGAUUUUAUCUUCCUAGAUGUUGCCAUCUUGCUCUGUAUGAUUGAGUUUGAUGCUUAUUUUUCUUCUUAGCCUAUUGGUACACUUGGGUCCACUCUAUUAAUCUUUUUCUCAGUCCAGUCUAUUUAUCAUUUAUGUCAACUUCAUCCUUCUAUUAUGGUACACAGUUUCCUGCUGUUUGGUUUUACACUUGUAUCUGGUUUCAUUGGUACUAGUAUUGCAGAUGGGUGCUGAAUUUUUUUUUACUAAGAAUUAUUUGAGAUUUACUGUACAAUGAUAAAUACCCAAUUGAAAAGGUCCAAAAUCUAUGAUUCUUCAUUUCCAAUGCUAUUUCUACUGCUUCAACUAAUGUAAGAACACUCUUCAUUAUUUUCUUUCGGGUAAAUUCAACAUAUUGAUGUAGAGAUUCAGGAAGACAACUUUUCUGUGUGUUUGGCCUACUUUUCAUUUGCCUAACAGCUUCAAGGUCUUACAUUAGUUGGAUGUUAUGCUGGUGGAUUAAAAUCUUUAUUAGUUACUCCUGUUGGAAUAUAAGUGAAUUGCCCACCUCUCCCCAUCACCUUAAGCUUUUGGGUUGAACCGGUCGGUGCAUGCAACUCAAUAUGGUAUCAAAGCAAGAGGUCUCGAGUUUGAAUCCUGGUUAGCGCAAUUAAAUAAAAUAAUUGCUACUCGCUUCUAUUCCACGUUCGAGGCCUGAGGGUGCCUCCACGUGAGGGGGAGUGUUGGAAUAUAAGUGAAUUGCCCACCUCUCCCCAUCAGCUUAAGCUUUUGGGUUGAACUGGUCGGUGCAUGCAACUUAAUAACUCUCUCCGUCCCAUGAAGAGUGCAAUUCUAGGUUUUUUAGACAGAUUAGUGGUGGUGUGAAAAGACUUUAAUGCCCUCAAUUGUUUGCCACAUAUGGUUAGUUUUGGCAUAAAAUUCAAAUCUGACCACUUAAUUAGGCAGGUAAUUGAGAUCCAAUCUCUAGAAUUGCACUCUUUGUGGGAUUUUUUCAAACUCAGGAUUACACUUUUCAUGGGAUGGUGGGGGUACUUCUUAUCUUUUGUUCGGUGUUCUUAUUUCAAUAUUUCUGUGGUCUACUAUCCAUAGAGUCGCACUACCCUUUUCUUGCUGGACCAGCAGCCCUGCAAGUAUGAGCAUGUGGCCAACUUUGUGUUCAAUUGGAGGUUUCUUUUGCGACCAUUGUUUAGAUUCAGUCAAACUCUAGUGGCGAUUAAACUUUCUUGCUGUACUGGGGAUCCUGUACUAUCCUGUACACGAUUUAUCUGUUUGUGGCUGUUUCUGUCAGCAUCUGGAUCAUAUUUUUGAUGGAUAUUCAUCCAGAAUAGACAACUAAAUUAUUUUGUUCGAAAGGUUUGCUCUGUUCAGGGGUCCUGCAUAGGUAAUCAUUAUUGAAGAGCUAGAGUAGCUGCUAAUUUGUGAAACGAUCUAUUCAUUAAUUAAUACAGAGUUCCAGGGAUUUUAUGUUAGCUCUUUUAUUGUUAUAGAAACACACCUUUAAAGUUCUGCCUCUAAUCUUGUAGGCUGUGCUGUAAACUUUUGUUGUCUGACGUCUGAUUUUUCUUGUAGAUGCUCGUGGCUUAGUGAUAUACUGAUAUUUCAUGGUUAAUUGCACUUCAAUCAGAUGUUAAGGAAGACAAGAACUACAGACUGAAUUAUUGAUGCAGUGCCACCAGGUGGCAACACAGAUGGACCCAGGAAAACCCAAUCAAAAUCACAUUUCUUUCUCUUGCAACGUUGCAUUUUCAGAGCUCGUGGCAUUUCCUCCUGC
Molecule: long non-coding RNA, 4849 nt
Organism: Panicum virgatum (switchgrass)
Lineage: Eukaryota; Viridiplantae; Streptophyta; Magnoliopsida; Poales; Poaceae
Exons: 3
Source: RefSeq, a predicted model, not a curated record